RNAcentral lists this RNase P RNA (373 nucleotides) under Puniceicoccales bacterium. Its description in RNAcentral is "RNase P RNA component class A". It matches the Rfam family "Bacterial RNase P class A". Rfam says of the family: Ribonuclease P (RNase P) is a ubiquitous endoribonuclease, found in archaea, bacteria and eukarya as well as chloroplasts and mitochondria. Its best characterised activity is the generation of mature 5'-ends of tRNAs by cleaving the 5'-leader elements of precursor-tRNAs. Lineage: Bacteria; Pseudomonadati; Verrucomicrobiota; Opitutia; Puniceicoccales. The record is from RNAcentral.
UGAGGGGAAGGCGCCCGCUCGCCGAGAAAUCUGCGGGAGGAAAGUCCGGACAUCGCAGGGCAGGAUUCCCGGUGAAAGCCGGGGCAGAGCGUCGAAAUACGUUCUGACGGCCAGUGUAACAGAAAACAAACCGCCGGCGAAGGUCGGCAAGGGUGAAAUGGUGGGGUAAGAGCCCACCGCGCCGUCGAGCAAUCGCGGUGGCACUAUAAACCCAAUCCGAUGCAAGGCAAAAUAGGGAGCUGGGCUGCCCGUCCUAGAGCUCCGGGUAUGCCGCACCGGCCGCCGGAAACGGCGCCGGAGUCUCCCAAAAGGAGGCUAGAUGAAUGGGCGCACGCCGGAAACGGCGCACAGAAUCCGGCUUACCCCUCAAAUC